UGUUGCUCAGUGGUUAGAGCAUCAGCCCUCGUACUGAAGGGUCAUGGGUUUGAUUCCCAUCA
RNAcentral lists this transfer RNA (62 nucleotides) under Myotis davidii. It matches the Rfam family "tRNA", at positions 6 to 65 of the family's 71-position model. From Rfam's summary of the family: Transfer RNA (tRNA) molecules are approximately 80 nucleotides in length. The record is from Rfam by way of RNAcentral. Lineage: Eukaryota; Metazoa; Chordata; Mammalia; Chiroptera; Vespertilionidae.